UAGAGCACGGCACUCAGUGCCACGUCCAGUCUUUGAACACCUCCAGGGACCGUGACUCCACCACCUCCCUAGGCAUCACAUUCCAAUACCUAAUCACUCUUUCUGUGAAGAAAUUAGUCCUAACGUCCUGCCUAAACCUCUCCUGGUGGAAGUUGAGGUUUUGUGCUCUCAUCCUAUUGCUAAUUGCCUGGGGGAAGAGACUGAUCCCCAGCUGGCCAAAACCUCCUGUCAGGCAGGUGUAGAGAGCGACAUGGACCCCCCUGAGCCGCCUCUUCUCCAGGCUAAACACGCUCAGCUCCCACAGCUGCUCCUCACAGGACUUGUGCUCCAGAGCCUCCACCAGCGUCGUUGCCUUUAUGUGGACACGCUCCAGCGCCUGAAUGUCUUUCCUGAAUGGAGGGGCCCAGAAUUGGACACCGUUCUCAAGUGCAGUCUCACCAAUGCUAUAUAUAGGGAGAAAAUCACUGCCCCGGUCCUGCUGGCCACAUGAUGCCUGAUAAAGGCCAGGGUGCCACCGGCCUUCUUGGCCACCUAGGCACACGCUGGCUCGUGUUCAGCUGCUGUUGGCCAGCACCUUUCCAGCCAGUCUUCCCCCAGCCCGUAGCGCUACAGGGGUUGUUGGUGUGACACAAGUGCACUUGGUCUCGUCGAACCUCACACCACUGGUGUGGAUCGCUCAUGGAUGCAGUCCGUCUCCCCCCGCGCCACAACUUAUCCCGGUCCGGUCCCCACAGCAGCGGUGGCUGGGGCGGAGCGGGGAGAAGCAGCACCCCCGCUCCUCGCCUUCCCAAGCACACACACGCACAGGUCGGGCUGGAGCGGGAAGGGUGCCGCUGGCUCGGAGCUUCGGGCAGCCGCGCCGAGCGGACUACAGCACCCGGCAUGCCCCGCGGCAGUAGCGGGGCCUGCCGGGAGUUGUAGUCUUGGGGGGACACCAGCGGGCGCCCUUCCAUAGGGCCUCAGGGGCAGCGGCUUGACCGGCCUUUCCCUCUAAACUGGAGAAGGGACAGGAGCCUGGGUGGUGGGUCCCGGCGGCGCCGGUGGCUCCGACACGGAGACAGAAUAACCCAUUUCAAAAAUAUGUCCUGAUAAUAAAUACAUUGAAUGGUUUGCAUUCAAAAUCAGCUCUUCAUAGUAAUGCUUGCAGAUCACAUAAUUUCCUUGGUGAACACCUCUAGUUCAGCCGAGCCAUGAAGGAAGGACUGUGGACUGGGAAUGCUGGGGAGACCCUCUGAGUAAUUUAGGUUCAGCUUCUGCCCUGGAGCCUCCAUUUCAGCUGCCUACCCCUCCUGCAGGCCUGCCACCAUCAUUCCUGCCUACUUUUUUCCACACCUCUCUUGCCAACACUAAAACCCACAUGACUUUAAUACCAUCACUGCCUGAAGAAGAAACAAGUAAAAAGUGCACUAGAGAAGCUCCUCAGAGCAGGUUUGCCUGAUUGGAAUUGGCUUCAAUAGGUGGUUACAUGACCUAUGUGUGAAAAUGUCACUAGAGCUCUGCAACUGCUCUGGCUCCAGGUUUUUUCUGGACUUACUUUAUGAUGCACAUAAAACAGCAUCUUAAAUUACAUCUUUUAUUUACAGUGCAAUAUUUAAAGUUGUUAUCUGGUGGUCUGUUGGGCUUUGUUAAGAAAACAAAUGUUCCACUCUGUUUAUGCAUUCUUACCCUUGGGAUCUGGAAGAUAAACUGGCAAAUAGAGGUUUUUCUUCUUCUGUCUUAACACAGAAGAAGAAUGCUAACUCUGUUAUCUCCACUCUUUCUCUGUUUCUCUUCAUGAAUCAAGCAAAGAUUAAGCCAUAGUGCACACUUCUCAGAAACAGUAAUUCAGUAAUUCCAGAAUCACCUGCUGCUUAUGAACCAGAAGAACUGGGUCUCAGCUUGCAAAAAAUCAAGACAUGGGAAAUGGCUGCAAAAUGGUGAAUGCCACAAAAGUUUCUGUCUUUUCUCCUUUUAAUGAGGUAAAAAAAUUACAGAAAAGAGUGUAAAUGCAAAGGAAGCUUAGAAGCUUCUGCUAUGCAGAUUUAGAAGACAGAAGUAUUUAUGCUGUCUAAUUCUUCUACAUACCUCUUGUUUAAGAAAAACUGAGGAAAAACAGAAGUUUGGAUCUCUCCUUACUAUGAUAACAGGACUUAGAGGUUUUCCCAUGCAAACACUUUGUUAGACGUGGCUGUGCAGUAGGUGGGACUGGCAUCAGGGGUGUGCACAGUUUGGGUAAGACUGGGUUCAUACUUACCAACAGCAUAGUGAGAGGCAGUGAAUGAAGAACAGGGCACAGCCCCAAACUCUGGGGGGAUGUCACAUCAUCAGCGAGGCUGCAAAGGACCCCAGUAAGGCCACAGUUUAAUUUCCAACUCGAAGCUGCUUUUAACUGUGGUCUUUGUUGUUGUUUGAACACAUUUUGAAGCUCAUUAAUGCAUUGAUAUGUUUUGUUGCAUUUAGUAUCAUUUCUGAUCUAAUGUUUCUAUUUCAUCCAGACUGAUGUAUAUUUUUAUAUUAAAACAACACACGUGUUGUUGAUCAGCAAUAUCUGGCAACCUUCCCCAACAUCUGAUUAAUUUCAUUUCAUGACCUCACAGCACAGCUCUGGAAUGAAACCUUGGAUCUAUUUCAGUCAAUAGAACUCCUGUCACUGAUUUCAGUGAGAUAAUAAUGUCAUUCCAGAAGUGCUAUUAGUGUAUUCAUCACUGCUUGCAAAAGGAUAACAUUUGCUUAAUCUGAGGUCAACAUUUGUCCUGUGUAUUUGUAGAUCUUGAUGUUUUUCACUCUGCGAAUUCAGUAUUGUUGUUAUAAUAUCUCAGUUUUGAGAUAAUUUGAUAUCUUUCAAAACUGUUUGCUAUUAAAUAUUAAAUAAGCACUCUCUGUUCCUGAGAAGUAAUAGAAUAGAUUCAGUUUCUUAAUAGCUUUUUCCUGCUUAUUGUGCAGGUUGUUUGGUCAGUCCCACCAAUUCUAAACUUGAAAAUGCCUUGCAAUAAAACAAUAUCACAACCUU
Long non-coding RNA from Passer domesticus (house sparrow), 2989 nucleotides. RefSeq lists it as uncharacterized. The record is from RefSeq and is a predicted model, not a curated record. The transcript is spliced from 2 exons. Lineage: Eukaryota; Metazoa; Chordata; Aves; Passeriformes; Passeridae.